Molecule: ribosomal RNA, 449 nt
Filed under: uncultured bacterium
Lineage: Bacteria
Description: SSU rRNA
Rfam family: Bacterial small subunit ribosomal RNA
Source: RNAcentral
AGGAUGAACGCUGGCGGUCUGCUUAACACAUGCAAGUCGAACGGAGUAGAAAUACUUAGUGGCGGACGGGUGAGUAACGCGUGAGAAUCUACCUUCAGGACGGAGACAACAGUUGGAAACGACUGCUAACCCCCGAUGUACUGAAAAGGCAAAUAUUUAUAGCCUGAAGAAGAGCUCGCGUCCGAUUAGCUAGUUGGAGAGGUAAAAGCUCACCAAGGCGACGAUCGGUAGCUGGUCUGAGAGGACGAUCAGCCACACUGGGACUGAGACACGGCCCAGACUCCUACGGGAGGCAGCAGUGGGGAAUUUUCCGCAAUGGGCGAAAGCCUGACGGAGCAAGACCGCGUGGGGGAAGAAGGCUCUUGGGUUGUAAACCCCCUUUUCUCUGGGAAGAACGCAAUGACGGUACCAGAGGAAUCAGCAUCGGCUAACUCCGUGCCAGCAGCCGC